GGCUGCACCUGUGACAUGUAGAGGUUCCCAGGGUAGGGGUCUAACAGGAGCUGUUGCUGCCAGCCACAGCAACACCAGAUUCGAGCCGCAUCUGUGACCUACACCAUAGCUUACAGCAACACUGGAUCCUUAACCCACUGAGCGAGGCGAUGGAUCUAACCUGCAACCUCAUGGUUCCUAGUCAGAUUCGUUUCCAUGGUGCCACAAUGGGAGCUCCAAAUUUUUAAUUUUUAAAGAAAAAUGUGCACAGUAAAUACACCAGUAUAAAGGUCAAUUUAUCUCCUAUGUAAAUAUGAGAAAUGAUCAUUCUUUAAAUAAGGGAAAAACAUUAUUGCCAUUUUGCAAUGUCCCCAUAUACCAAAAAUAUUUUAAAAAAUAAUAAUAUAUGGCUACAAACUUGUAGUUUCUUUUCUGAGUAUUCAGAAAUAUAUAUCUUCAGUGACUAAGUUAUGAGAGUUUAAAAUUUAAAAGAAGAUUAAGAGACAAAUUAAGAGAAAACUUAAAUUUCUACAGUAGCCAGCAUCUAAAUACAACUACUUCAAGUUACCAUGAAUAACACUACUUGAAUAUUAGAAUCACCUAGAAAGAAUUUAUCAACUCACAGUGACUGAGGCCACACCUUCAGAGGCAUAUUUAAUUGGUUUGCAUGGCAGUGAAACAUGAGUAUUUUCUAAAAGAUCUCCCAGAUGAUUCUAAUGCACUAUUACUAAGGUUCUUCAAUUUUGAUCACUAACUAGAAGCAUCAGUAUCCACUUGUGAACCUUUUAGACUUUCUUAGGCUAAGACCCGCCACUUUAGUGUCUGAACCUAACAGUGUGUGUUUUAACAAGGUCUCCAUGCGAUUUUGGUGCUCCCUGAAGUUAGAGAAAUAUUAAGCUGUGCUAUAAGGUAUCUCUUCUAGCUCUUUUUUCCUAAUUCACUCCUCAGUAGGGGAAGAAUGUCUUUAAAGAUGGGAAGAUCUGAAAGAUUGAAACUUAGAUCCUCAAGCACAGCUAAUUGGAACUUAUCUUUCUGGUGACUGGCCCAUUCACAGGAGGUUGAAUUCCGGUCUUCUUUCUGGCCAUGCCAUAAAUGUUAUGGCAAGCUCUCUUGCUUUAAGUUCAAUUUUCCAGCUGCAGCAAUGUCUGUGGGCAUAAAUCUAACUUUGGGGUGAAAUAUUAGCAAGGCAGCUUUGUCCAGAUCUAAAAAUUUCUAUUAUCUUUAUCAGAUUUAUCAGUAUUUUCAUCUCUAUAUACCUAUCUCAGUCUUAAUUAUAGAUUCCAAUAUAAGGGGAAUGACAAGAGAUGAAUAAUAUCUCUUGUUUCUUAGAAGCCAUUUCAAACAGGGCAUUCUUUACUGAAUUAUCAGAAAUGGUACACAGAGAGAAUGGGUUGAAAUCAUUGAUGAGAAUUACAUGUCACAAGCUGGAGAAAGUUUCUUAUCGAGCUAUCGUUCUUUAGAAAAGCUAUAUGGUAGGAGUACAAGAGAGAAAGUCAUGGUUGAAAGUAAAAAGUAGGUACUGGAAAAUAUAAAGAACUGGUUUUGAGACUAAUUCCACAGGAGCAUCCCCUGAAAUAUCCUUUAGUAAGCAAAAUACAGACUCUGAAGGCAAUGGACUUGUUUAAGUGGUUUCUGUCAGUCUGUUUUUGUGUAGUGAGUAGAAAGGACUGGUUAAGAUCUUCUUGAAAAUCCUGGUCUGACAUUCCCUAUGUAAUCAUUUUUGAACCAGGCAAGCAAAGCUUGUACUUUUUUCCCCCAUGCAUUUAUACUAUGUCUAAAUAAGUAUCUUACGGAUAUUUUAAUAUGCAUUUUCUUGAUGACUAAUGUGGUUGUUAGUCAUUUUGUCAUUUUAAAUUUUUUAUGAGGGAGAGCAUUUUGCCCAAUUUUCUAUUGUCUCACCCACUACUUUGUAAUACUUUUUAGUUUCAUAAAAGCAUAUGAAUAUUUUUCUUUUAAUGAAAGAACAGAAAAAUCAAUAUUUUCAAUACCAGUACACACACUUGUUACAUUUUGUUUUUCACACUCUUUAUGGAUAUAAAUAUACUCACAGAAAUACAUAGUUUUGACUUUGAUUUUACACAUAUUAUUCUUUUCAUGCUCAUCUGGAACUUGCUUUUUUCCACUCAACACUAUGUCUUGAUGUUUCCACAUCAACAUGUAUAGAUAUAUAACUUAACUGGUACAUAAUAUUCUAGCAUAUAGAUGGAUAUUUUAGGGACAGGUAGGGUUUACAACAUUUGCUACUAAAAGCAAACAUGACUGUCUCCUUGCCCACCCUAUCCUAACAUGCCAGCAUGUAAGGGAGCAUGUCUGUCCUGUUAAAUAGGAUAUCUCCGGGGUCUGGAAUGGUCCUUGGUAUAUAGUUGAACCUAGGUGAAUAUUUGCUGAAUAAAUCCUAAGUGGAAAUACAUACUAAGUUGGUCUUGGAGUAAUGUGAGGAAGUUAAACUGUAGUUCUAAUUAUUCAGGAUCCUAUUGAACCUUGAUAUGUAGACAGCAGACACUGGGAUCUGUAUAUUUCACAGCUUCCCAAGAUAAUUUUUUCCAGAUAUAAGUGGAACAACUAUUCUUUCUAGCAGUGGUUCUUAAUCUGUCAUCACAGAACCAGCAGCAAGAACAUCACCAGGGAACUUCUUAAGAAUGAUAACUUUCUCAUUCCAACCUAGAUCUACUGAAUCAGACACUUUGGGACUGGGGACCACAAUCUCUGGUUUAACAAACCCACCAGGUGAUGCAAAUUUCUGAGAACCACCACUUUAAUGAAUAGCUGGUCACUGAAUAAAAACAGCUGUUUCUAACUAGCUACUAGUGGUAUUAAAAAUUAGCAAUUAUUUUCUCCACUAAGUUAAACAUUAAAACAUGAUAUAAAUUAUUGACCAUAAUCUACUAUUAUGCCAGUUGAGAAGAAAAGAGAAGGUAGAAUAGAUCACCUAAAAUGAAAAAUGAAGCCUAUAAAAACCACAUUAUUUUAAAAUAACAUCUUAAGUGCUAAAAAUUAAUACUGCUGACUCAAAUACAUAUAUCACAACUUCUUCCUUUUAAAUUUUUAUUGUUUUUUAAAAUGUACGUGUUUAAGGUAUGAGGUAGUAUAUAACAAAAAUUGUAUAAAAUACACGGAAAUAAUUUUUUUAAGAGAUUAGAUUUCCAGCACAUAGCGCAGAACUAUAUUUUUAUGAUUUAAUGAUGGUUUGUUUCUGUUUUUGUUUUUGGUCUCCCAGUUCUUUUUCACCUGUAUGUUUAUGAAGAUGGUGGAAGAUAUUAAGAGGCUUAAGGUUUUUGGUUUUCGUAUUUGUUUGUUUGUUUUCCUUCUAGUCGUAGACUACUUAAGCACGUUGCAAUGCAAUUUCACUGUCUAGGAGAUGGCUAUAGUUCAUUUCUCUUUGUAAACUAAAUCAAAUGCUAAGAGUGUUAUAGAGAGCCACAGCUCAGGACUUGAACAGUAGGAUGAGAGGAUUGCUAAGGAUGAUGAAAUAUAAGGUCCAAAAACCUAAUUGACUCAGUUUGUUCUAUAAUAAUAAUUAAAGCUUUCUUAAUUGGGACCUGUGAAAUAUGACAGUGUUUAACUCCCUUUUGCCUUUACAGAUUUAAUAAAAGGUCAAACUCUUUCAAAAUGAGAAUAACUAUUUUACCGGUUUACUGAAAGUCACUGUUUUACUUGAGGCAUUGCCAAGUUAAAUAUCUUAAAGAUUUUAUUCAAUUACCUAGCGUGAAGAAAAGCACAUUCAACAUUUGCAAAUAAUCACUUAUGGUAUGUUUUUAUUUUAAAGCAUCUCAGGUCUUUUUAAUUAAGUAAGAACUUAUGACAGACAUGGAAAAAUUUUUUUCAUAGGAAUGUUAGGAAAUUUAUCUAUGUUCUUUCCACAAGACAUUUUAUUUCAGAAUAUAAAUCUACAUGUAUUUUACAUAAAUUUUAUUUCAACAAAUACUAUUUAGCCAUACAUAUGAUUAAAAUAUUAUUUGGGUACAAAUUUAAAUAAGCCUUGGUUUCUGCUCUCAAAAGUGCUUUAUUCUAGUGGACUACUUUUACAGUAGUCAAAUAUAAUCACUAAAGUGUUUAAAAGCUUUGUUCAAGUAAAUGAGAGAUUUAGAGAUUUACAUACCAAAAACUCUUUGAUGCCUCUAGCAAUAUAAAAAACUAAACUAUGUUGGACUUUUCUCCUCUCCACUCCUAUAUCACACUAGAAUCCACACAUAAUUAUUUUUUAAAAAAAAUGUGUAUAUAUAUAUAUAUAUACACACAUAGGUAGUCUGGACAGUAAACAAGUAAGUAAUAAGAAAUUAAAGACAUAAGUACAAAUUGAUAUCAGGGCAGUCCAUGGUUACCUAGUCUCAGAUACAUGUCCUAACUGCUGAGGCUGGAUCUCUGACAAGCACACUAGAAUAGAAGGCACAGCCAUUGGGUGGGUGAUAAGGAGCAAAGCUUGGAAACGUCUACCCAGCACAAAGUUCAAAAAAAAUGAAUGCUUCAUAAAUCUAUGGGAAAGGAGAAAAAAAAGCCAUUUUUGAAAAUUUUAAAUCCCAUGGCUUGGCCACUUUAAGUUGUGGUUUAUAAACUCUAAAUAUCUGAAAAGUGAGAAAAAAAAUGAAACCAAGAAAUAAAUAUAAAAUUUGAACAGUUUCAUAAACACCCAUAAUGCCCACAAAGAAAUGUCAGAAGCCCUUCGGCAGAAAGAUAAGUUUCAUAACUGAAGCACACAGAACUCCCGCAGA
RNAcentral lists this long non-coding RNA (4688 nucleotides) under Sus scrofa (pig). Its description in RNAcentral is "lncRNA (ENSSSCG00030050522.1)". The record is from RNAcentral. Lineage: Eukaryota; Metazoa; Chordata; Mammalia; Artiodactyla; Suidae.